RNAcentral lists this ribosomal RNA (402 nucleotides) under uncultured bacterium. Its description in RNAcentral is "partial 16S ribosomal RNA". It matches the Rfam family "Bacterial small subunit ribosomal RNA", at positions 355 to 748 of the family's 1533-position model. The record is from RNAcentral.
UGGGGAAUUUUGGACAAUGGGCGCAAGCCUGAUCCAGCCAUGCCGCGUGCGGGAAGAAGGCCUUCGGGUUGUAAACCGCUUCUGUCAGGGAAGAAAUCUUCUGAGUUAAUACCUCGGGAGGAUGACGGUACCUGAAGAAUAAGCACCGGCUAACUACGUGCCAGCAGCCGCGGUAAUACGUAGGGUGCAAGCGUUAAUCGGAAUUACUGGGCGUAAAGCGUGCGCAGGCGGUUUUGUAAGACAGAGGUGAAAUCCCCGGGCUCAACCUGGGAACUGCCUUUGUGACUGCAAGGCUUGAGUGCGGCAGAGGGGGAUGGAAUUCCGCGUGUAGCAGUGAAAAUGCGUAGAUAUGCGGAGGAACACCGAUGGCGAAGGCAAUCCCCUGGGCCUGCACUGACGCUC